Bos grunniens (domestic yak) is the source of this 2514-nucleotide long non-coding RNA. Lineage: Eukaryota; Metazoa; Chordata; Mammalia; Artiodactyla; Bovidae. The record is from Ensembl.
AAUUACAGGUAACGAGAGGACAGAAAGCGAUGCUGCCGUAACAGCCCGCAGCCUUCUGAUGGCCUUGCUCCGUGCCCGUGGGCGAGGCACUGUGCACUUUGUUCGUGUGUGUGAGUGCCAUUUCCAGCCUGUCUCCUGCAGUGGAGACAGUACACAGUUGAUUCAUACUGUCAAGCUCUCAGCCAGCACGACUGCUAUGUAGGAACCCAUAUACCUGCCAGGUGCCUGGCGCAGAACAUAAUGCGAAAGAAAUGGACAAAUGAGUGUGAGUCACGAAGUCUGAUUCACUCCCCAGAGAAGACUCCUUGAUUCUAUCAUCUCAAACAACAAGCUAGGCAGUUAAACCAAUAAAAGUUGUAAGAGAAAAGCUGGCUUCGUUUUAGAAUAGGCGAUUCCAUAUCAUCAACUACCGAAAGAAUCAUUACAGCUUUAGACAGAAAUCUUAGGAGAAAGCCGCACUCUGGACUUCCUGAAAGGCUGAAAUGAACUGCCAGUAUUUCUGCACUGUGGUUUGUUUUGUGCUUAGUAUAAUGGCAUCACUAUAUAAGGAAGAACACGCAUCACUUUCUGGGGAGAAGACAAUGAAUCUUUCAUGAUGCCAGCCAGACGAGGAAUCUGUCUGAGCUCCCACGUGGGAGCUGGUUGACUGGGUCCCAGAGGCUGGCCAGAGCUGGCUUCCAGACAGCUCUCUUCCUGUUUAAGCACCACGCAGCCACCCCCAACUACUCUUGCAAGACAGCGCUCUUUGUUCUGUCAAUUUCUCAUUCUUUUUUCCUGUGCUUUUUAAAACUGAAAAAUGAACCUGGAAGAAAAAAUAACUGAUCUCUAAUUGGAAAUCACAACCACCAAUUACAAAACAGGACAAAAUGCCUUACACAGCAAAAAAGUAAAAAGAAAAAAAUUCAUACAGACGCAGCAAAAUGCCCUAACCUGAAAACAACACUUACAUUAUCCUACAACAGCUUGUUGAAGACACUGGGGCAGAACCGCCUGGGGACGGGAGGGUGCCCUGCGGUUGUUGACACAAGCACCGUCCAGAUGUCCUCAACUUUAGGACAGUGCUCAAAACAGGGCAGGUCCGGGAGUUGCAGGAAUUUGCUUGUAGAUUCUCAGGACUUAAAGGAUGAUCAAGCUUGCUUCUGGGGAAGAGAGCCUGGGUCUGGAGUUGGAGAGAAAGACCAGCACUGCAUCUUGGGCAUCGUUUUGCAUGUUGAACAAUUUGAAUAUAUCAUCUAGUAGCGAUAAUUAAUUUAAGUGAAAAUUGUUUUCAAAAGUGUUUGAUACCACUUGUAGUGAAUCAAACAGCACCUCCUGCUAAAGCUAUGUCUUUAAAACCCGAGUAUGUGACCCUACCGGAAACAGGUCUUUGCAGACGUGAUGGAGUUAGUGAUGUCGUGAUGAGAUGGUCCUGGACUAGGGGGUGAGAAUGCAUUUCUGUUGCUUGAAGCCACCAAGGCUGAGAGUUUGUUACAGCAGCCCAGGGAAGUGACACUCCCACUUUUGCCCCUAAAUCAUCUUGGCUUCUAGCCAGGAUCACUAAGUUCUUUCCUUCCUUACUUUCCAUCUUAAACUUGUGCCCAUUUGGAAUGAACCAGGGGGGCACUCUGUAAAGCCGAUCAGCUCAUAAGGCACAAGAAUAAAACAUGAUCCAACAGCUGCUUACCCAGCCUCUCCAAAGCACAGCCAGAGAGCUGCUGUGUCAGGGGAAGGAUUUUACUCUCAAAACAGGUCUUUUUCUCAUUCUUCCCAAAGAAUAAAUUCCUUUAUCAUGAUGAAAAAAACGAUUCAGUGAGUUCUUAAGACUUCACAUUUUAAGUUUAGGGAGAGCCCAUUGUUUGAAGAUUUAAAUUUUGCAGCAACCACAAAAAGCCAAAAACAGCCCAAGUGCCUGUGGGAGGAAGGAUGGGGUCCUCGUUGGGAGGAGACAGAAGAUGGAAGGAAACUUCUCAAACAACUGCCUGGUGUGUGAUUUGAUAAAGAAAUACAGGUGGAGAGGACAGUACAAGCUGGGGAUGGGCAGAAACCACGGUCUCCUUUAUUAUGCUUUAAUUUUUAUUUUUAAUUGGAGGAUAAUUGCUUUGCAAUGUUGUGUUGGUUUCUGCCACACAGCAGUGUGAAUCAGCCGUAAGUAUAUGCACAGCGCCUCCCUCCUGACUCCCUCCCACCCCUCCCCUAUCGCUCCCCUCUAGCUCUUGUGCGCUCUUUAACUUCUGUUUACUUACUGACUCUGGCUUUUUUGGUCGCACUGGGUCUUCGUUGCUCUGUGUGGGCUCUCUCCAGUCUGGGUAAGCGGGGGCUUCUCAUCACUGCGGCACCUUCUCGUCAGGACGCACAGCUCUAGGCUUACUGGCUUCCGAAUUUGCAGCAUGUGGGCUUCGUUGCUCUCAGGCAUGCGGAAUCUUCCCGGACCAGGGAUUGAACCCAUGUCCCCUGCGUUGACAGGCAGAUUCUUAACCACUGGACAGCUAAGGAAGUCCCCACUUCAUCUUUUAAGAUUAAAGAAGUACAGAAGGG